Molecule: long non-coding RNA, 5140 nt
Filed under: Marmota monax (woodchuck)
Lineage: Eukaryota; Metazoa; Chordata; Mammalia; Rodentia; Sciuridae
Source: RNAcentral
UGGAAAUUAAACAAUGUUCUUUUUAAUGAAGAAUGGAUAAUUAUAAGAAAUCAAGAAAUUCUUAGAAAAGAAUGAGAACAGAGAUACAGCAUAUCAAAAUCUCAGUAAGAAAGCAAUUACAGAAGGAAAAUUUAUAGCAUUGAGUGCCUACAUUAAACAAUUAGAAUGAGUUUGUUGGGAUAAACACAACUAGUAUGUAUAACUAUAAACCUCUAAUAAAAAUAAAUAAAUAAAUAAACCUUUUCUCUUAAAAAAAAAAUUACAGAGAUCCCAAACAAAUAGGCUUACACUCCACCACAAACAUUUAUAAAAGAAAAAAUAAAUGAAUUCCAAAAUCAGUAGAAGAAAGAAAAUAAUUAAGAGAUAAAAGUAAUGAAUUUGAGAAUAAAAAACUACAUAAGAUCAAUUCAACAAAGAGUUGGUUCUUCUAAAAGAUAAAUAAGACUGAUAUACUUUUAGCCAAAUUAAGAAAAAUAGAGAGAAAGAUGACCCAAAUCAACAAAACUGAAGAUGAAAAAGAAGAUAUCAUCAGAGGUACUUCUGAAAUCCAGAGAAUCAUUUGAAACUAUGUUGAAAAUGUGUACUGAAAUCAACUGAAAUAUCUAGAUAAUAUUGACAAAAUUUCUAGACACAUAUGACUUGCCCAAAAUUGAACCAAGAAAAUACAGAAAACUUUGACAAACCCAUGCAAAGUAAUAAAAUUGAAAUAAUUCUAAGUCUUCCAACCAGGUGCAGUGGCGCACACCUGUAAUUCCAGCCACUCUGGAGGCUUAGACAGGAGUAUUGGUGUUCAAGGCCAUCCUUAGCAAAAAGCAAGGCACUAAUCAACUCUGUGAGACCCUCUCUCUAAAUAAAAUCCAAAAAAAAUAGGACUGGGAAUGUAGCUCAGUGGUCAACAAGAGCCCCUGAGUUCCACCCUUGUGCCUUCUAAAAAAAAAAAAAAAAGCCUUUCAACAAACAAAAAGCCAGGACCAGACAUAUUCUCUUUAAAGAUUUCUACCAAACCUUUAAAGAAGAACUGAACCAAUCUUUCUCAAAUUAUUCCAUAAAAUUGAAAGGGUGGGAACAAUCCUAAAUACAUUCUAUGAAGCCAGUAUAACUCCAAUUCUAAAAUCAGACAAAGACACAUCAGGGAAGGAAAAAAACAGAUCAAUAUCCCUGAUGAACAUAGAUGCAAAAAUCCUUAAUAAAAUACCAGCAAAACUGUGGGGACAAGUGUAUGAAGUACUGCAUACAUGGCAUACGUUAAGGGCAUCUGAGUGGCAAACCACUCCCCUCAUGCUAGGCAUGUGAGCAACAAACCUCUUACCCUGUAGGUACAGCCCUGGGUGUGAGGCCAUGUGGUGCAGUCCUGAUGCUUACUCCAUGGCCCGCUCCUUGAUUGGUCUCUACAAGGACAGUUGGAAAGAAAUUGUAUUGGUGGCUGCCUAUAAUCUGCUUAGCUGCUGCUUGAGUAUAUAUAUGAGAUAACUGCACAAUAAAAUCAGACCUGCUUCCUGCCUGGUCUCUGGAAGUCUUGAAUAGCAACUCUGUAGCCACACUCUACUUUACCCUGUUCCAUGGACCUCCUCACUGGAUGAGAGAGAGCCCAUGUAGCAAACCACAUUCAAAAACACAUUGAGAUAAUAUACCGUGAUCAAGUGUGAGGAAAUGCAAGGUUGGUUCAACAUAUGAAAAUCAAUAAAUGUAAUUUGCCAUAUAAAGAUAACUGUUUAUCUCAAUAAAUGUAGUAAAGGUCUUUGUUAAAAUCAAGCAGCCAUUUAUGUUAAAGACUCUGGAAAAACUAGAGACAGAAGGAACGUACCUCAACAUUUUAAAGUCUGUAUAUGACAAACACAAUGUCAACAUCGAACUGAACGUACAAAAAUGGAAAACAUUUUUUCUAAACUCAGGAAAAGAAAAGGACAUCCACUCUCACUAUUUCUUUUCAAUAUGGUUCUCAAAACUCUAGCCACUGCAAUUAAAUAAGAACAGAAAAUUAAAGUGAUACUAAUCGAAAAAGCAAAAGUCAAUUAUCUCUAUUUGCUGGUAACAUGACUUAUAUCUAGAAACCCCAUAAAACCCACUAGAUUUCUAGAGCUGAUAAAGGAAUUCAGUAAACCAAGAUUCAAGAUCAACAUUCAGAAAUCAAUAGCUUUCUUGUAUUUCAACUGAUUAUGCUGCAAAAGGAAUCAGGAAAACUAUCCCAUUAACAAUAACUUCAAGAAAAAUACUUGGGAAUUAAACUAACCACGGAAGUGAAAGAUCUCUACAAUAAAUAUUAUAAAACACUGAAGAAAAAAAAAUAAAGAAGAGACUAAAAGAUAGAAAGACAUCUCAUAUUCUUGGAUGAACAGAAUUAAUAUUGUUCAAAUGGCCAAUAAAAAAUAUUAUACAGAUUCAAUGUGAUCCCCAUCAAAACCAAUGACAUUCCCCACAUCUCUGAAAUUUAUUUGGAAUAAUAAGAAACUCAAAGUGCCCAAAAUUACCCAGAUCAAGAAGAGAAAUGCAAGAGACAUUGCAAUACCUGAUUUCAAAUUAUACUGCAAAUUUAUAGUAACAAAACCAGCAUGAUAUUAGCAUCAAAAUAGACAUGAAAAUUAAUGGAGUAAAAUAAAAAACACAAAGACAAACUCACGUAAAUACAGGUAUCUGAUAAUAGACAAUAGUGCCAAAAACAUACAUUCAAGAAAAGAUAGGGGGCUGGGGAUGUGGCUCAAGCGGUAAUGCGCUCGCCUGGCAUGCAUUCGGCCCGGGUUCGAUCCUCAGCACCACAUACAAACAAAGAUGUUGUGUCCGCCGAAAACUAGAAAAUAAAUAUUGAAAAAUUCUCUCUCUCUUCUCCCUCUCUCUCUCACACUCUCUCUUUAAAAAAAAAAAGAAAAGAAAAGAAAAGAUAGGCUUUUUAACAAAUUGUGCUUCUAUCUAUAUAUAGGAGAAUGACACUAUAAUCCUAUCUCCCACGUUGCACAAGUUAAAUCAAAGUGGAUUGAAGAUUACUAUCUCUUUUUGCUGAUAACAUGAUCUUAUAUCUAGAAAACCUAUAAAACUUCACUAGAUUUCUAGAGCUGAUAAAUAAAUUCAGCAAAAUAGCAUGAUACAAGAUUAACAUUCAUAAAUCAAGAGCUUUCUUGUACUUAAGAGUGAUUUAUAAUUAAAAUACAAAAAAAAAGAAAAUCAAAAAGCUUUACACCAAAACAAUAACUACAACAACAAAAAUAACCCAAUCAAUAAAUGGGCAAAUGUCCUAGACAAACAUUCCUCAAAAUAAGAGACAUGAAUAGCCAAUAAAUACAUGAAAAAAAUGUUCAAUACUUAUAAGUAUCAGGGAAAUGUAAAUACAAAUUACAUUAAGAUUUCAUCUCAUUCCAUUCAGAAUGACAAUAAUACAUGUAUAUCUAAAAGGAAAAAAUAAAAAUAAAAACAAAAAGGACACAAAUAAUUAUAAAUUCUGGCAAGGGUGUGGGGGAAAGGGUACAUUUGUACAUUGUUGUAGAGCAAAGUAGUAUAACCACUCUGGAAAGCAGUAUGGAAAUUCUUCAAAAAACUAGGAAUGGGACUACCAUAUAACCCUCCUUCCUUACUUUUUGAUAUUUAUUACAAAGAACUAAAAUCAACAUACUAUAAUGACACAGCCACAUCAAUGUUUAUAGCAGCAUAACUAACAAUAGCCAAAUUAUGGGACCAGCCUAGAUGCUCAUCAAUAGAUGAAUGAAUUUUAAAAAUGUGGUAUUAAGAAAAUGUGGAGUUUUACUCUUCCACUAAAAAAAGAAACUAUAUCAUUUACUAGUAGAUGGAUUGAAAUGAAGAACAUUAUGCUAACUGAAAUAAUCCUGAGGAAAAAGUCAAGCAUUGAAUGUUUUGUCUCACAUGCAGAAGCUUGAGCAAAAUAAGAGGGAAAGUAGGGAGGAGAUCAUAUAUUAUAAAUAGAUUGGGAAGAUCAGUUGAGUAGAAGGAUAUUGAGAAUAGGGGAGGAGGAGCAGUAAAGGGGAGAAAAGGCAGACUGAAUUUAACAAACUCACACCAUGUAUAAGUAUAGAUAUAUCAUAGUGAAUUAUACCUGUAAGUAUAUGUAUAAAGCACCAAUCAGAAAUAAAUUAAUAACAAGUGAAAGGAAGAUCAGUAUUUGAGGAAGGAGAAUAGGAAGAGGAAAGGGGGAGGAAUGGAGGCCCCUGGGGACUUAAAUGGAGUAAAUCAAAUUCCAUGUAUGUAUGAUUUUGUCAAAAUGAACUCAACAAUCAUGUGUAACUAUUGUUAUGGUUGGAUGUGAGGUUUUCCCAAAAAGCUCAUGUGUGAGACAAUGAAAGAAGGUUCAGAGGAGAAGUGAUUGGGUUAUGGGAACCUUAAACCAAUCAGUGAAAUAACCUCCCUGAUGGGAUUAGCUGAAUGUUAACUGAAGGCGGGUGGUGUGUAGCUGGAGGAGGUGGGUCAUUGGAGGCAUGCCUUUGGGGUAUAUAUUUUGUAUCUGUUGAAUGGAUUCUCUGUCUCUCCUUUCUGAGCAUCCUGUAAGCCACUUCCCUCUACCACACUCUUCCAUCAUGAUGUUCUUCCUCUCCUCCAGCCCAGAGGAAUGGAGUUGGCUGUGUAUGGACUGAGACCUCUGAAACCAGGAACCCCUAAAUAAACUUUGCCUUCUCUAAAGUUGCUCUUGUUGAGUCUUUUAGUGCAGCAGCAAAAAAAAGCUGACUAAAACAACUAUAAUGUUCUUUUAAAUUGAUAAAUAAAAAUAAUUAAUGGGGGGAUGGAAGAAUGAAAGUUCAUUGUAUCAGACAAAGGUAAAUGAAGGGAAGGGAUUGAGGAAAGGAAUAGGAAAGAAAGUAGAAUGAAUUGGACAUAAUUUUUCUAUAUUCAUAUAUGAAUACACAACCAGCAUAAUUCCACAUCAUGUACAACCACAAGAAUGGGAUAUUAUACUCCAUGUAUAUAUAAUAUGUCAAAAUACAUUCUACUGUCAUGUAUAACUAAAAAAAAACAAAUUAAGAAAAAAUAAAUUUUAAAAAAUAAAAUAUAGUACAGUAGAAGAAUUGCAGUUUAUAACAAUAAAUUGUUGAACAAAUAAAUUGUGAAUAACUCUGCUAAAACUAUAGGCAUACAAUAAUUUCUUCAAGAUCCUGCUUUCAAUAAUUUGGGGUAUGUACUCAGAAAUGAAAUAAUUUUGUAU